AUUGAACGCUGGCGGCAGGCUUAACACAUGCAAGUCGAGCGGGGGAAGGUAGCUUGCUACCGGACCUAGCGGCGGACGGGUGAGUAAUGCUUAGGAAUCUGCCUAUUAGUGGGGGACAACAUCUCGAAAGGGAUGCUAAUACCGCAUACGUCCUACGGGAGAAAGCAGGGGAUCUUCGGACCUUGCGCUAAUAGAUGAGCCUAAGUCGGAUUAGCUAGUUGGUGGGGUAAAGGCCUACCAAGGCGACGAUCUGUAGCGGGUCUGGGAGGAUGAUCCGCCACACUGGGACUGAGACAGGGCCCAGACUGCUACGGGAGGAAGCAGUGGGGAAUAUUGGACAAUGGGGGGAACCCUGAUCUAGGCAUGCCGCGUGUGUGAAGAAGGCCUUAUGGUUGUAAAGCACUUUAAGCGAGGAGGAGGCUACUCUAGUUAAUACCUAGGGAUAGUGGACGUUACUCGCAGAAUAAGCACCGGCUAACUCUGUGCCAGCCGCCGCCGUAA
Molecule: ribosomal RNA, 501 nt
Filed under: uncultured bacterium
Lineage: Bacteria
Description: partial 16S ribosomal RNA
Rfam family: Bacterial small subunit ribosomal RNA
Source: RNAcentral